GAAAGGCCUAAGGGUGGUUUAAAGGGGGGGGUAGAAUUUCCAGGGGGGGCCAGGGAAAUUGGUAGAGAAAGGGGAGGAAUUACCGAUGGGGAAGGCAAGCCCCCUGGGAUAACACUGACGUUCAUCACGAAAAGCGUGGGGAGCAAACAGGAUUAGAUACACCUGGUAGUUCACGCCCUAAUAGAUGUCAACUAGUUGUUGGUGAUUCAUUUCCUUAGUAAUGUAGCUAACGCGUGAAGUUGUCCGCCUGGAGAGUACGGUCGCAAGAUGAAAACUCAAAGGAAUAGACGUGGAACCGCACAAGCGGUGGAUGAUCUGGAUUAAUUUGAUGCAACGCGAAAAACCUUACGUGACCAUGACAUGCCACUAACGACAGCAGAGAUGCGUUAGGUGCUCGCAAGAGAAAGUGGACACAGAUGUUGCAUCACUGUCGUCAGCUCGUGUUGUGAGAUGUUGGUGUAAGUUUCGCAUACGAGCGCAACCGUGGUCUAUAGUUGUUUCGAAAGGGCACUAUAGGAGAGUCUAGAGAGGACAACCCGGACGAAGGGAGGAAGGAGGUCAAGUCGUCAAGUCCUCAUAUGCGUAAGGGGUAGCACUUCACACAUCAUGCAAUGGCACAUGCAGAGCAAUGCCAAGACGUGAGGUGGAUCUCAUAACAGAAAUUGUAUUGUAGUAUGGAUGUUAGUAUGUAACUCGACUAGGAGAAGCAGGAAUUGGUAGUAAUCGCGGAUCCGCAUGCCGCGGAGAAUACGUUCCCGGUUUUUGUCCCCACCGCCCGUCACACCAUGGGAGUGGGCUUUACCAGAAGUAGUUAGCCUAACCGCAAGGAGGGCGAUUACCACGGUAGGGUUCAUGACUGGGGUGAAGUCGUAACAAGGUAGCCGUAUCGGAAGGUGCGGCUG
This 902-nucleotide ribosomal RNA is filed under the name uncultured bacterium. Its description in RNAcentral is "bacterial SSU rRNA". It matches the Rfam family "Bacterial small subunit ribosomal RNA", at positions 630 to 1520 of the family's 1533-position model. The record is from RNAcentral.